CUCUGAAGGUCCCUAUGACAACAGCACAGGGGCGCUGGUGUUUCCCUGCUCAUUUUCAGAGUCCUGUGCAAAUGCGACUGCCUUCUACUGGAUGGACCUUGAAGUAAAUGUAACAGGAGUCCAGAAUGAGUCAGACAUAACCGUUGAGCUCACUCAACUCUUCAGCAUCUAUGAUUGCGUAGCAUCCAACAGUACGAGCAUCACAGUGACGCCGCUUGCCACCCCAGCCAACAUAACUGUCACCACGAACAACACAACUGUCUUGCUACUUAGCUCAAGCCAGAGCCAGAACACCACCUCUGGCAGUGGUACGAGCAUAUGCAACAGUGUGAAUGAGACCACCCGCCAACUCUUCCAGGCUAUCAAGGUCAUGUGUGACACUAAGGAGAACAUAAGCCUUACACGGUGCUCGGUGCUUCUCCAGCUCAGCAACGCCGUCAGCACCUGUCGGCUUGUCCAGGUGCUGAAAACCACUGCGGGAAACAUCCAGACCAACCUCCUGGGGAGCGUGCAGAGUGUGGCCCAGGGCCACUGUCCUAAUUCGAUGACAUCACCUCCUGCUGGAGACAUUGUUAUGUGUGACACCCCGACUCUGGUGUCCAGUCCAUGUCAAUACAGUGGACUGGUGAAUGUAACAUGUAAUAGUUAUGCUGAGACUGUGUACGUUCCUCUGAUGACUAACACGCCUGGGAAUGUGACCUGCCCGUCCCCCAGCUUCACAGAAGAGCAGACCUGCAGCUUCUCAGCUUACUGCAAUUCAGCAGCUGGUUUCUACACCUUUGAUAUCCUCAUCAAUCAACAGUGGAACCAGAAAGACCUUCAGAACAUGAUUGCUUCAAAGCUGAACUCUUCAGUACCAUCAUGCAACAUCUCCACGGUGACCCCAGGGUAAGUUUACCAGCAUCUUCACCUUCCAUCUCGUAGCCCUUCCUGCCAUCUUUAUAAUCAAGAAGGUACCGGAGAUAUGACUGUUGAUUUGGAAUCUUCUUUUCCAGCUCAAACUGUUCUACAAACAACUCGCUGGCAGGACUGGUUCAGGUAAGCAUACUACUUAUUACAUGCGACUAUAUGGAUAUUGAGAUGAAUGAUCAGGGUGGGAAGUUAUUGGUGCAUCAAGCAGAAAUGU
RNAcentral lists this long non-coding RNA (1126 nucleotides) under Scleropages formosus (Asian bonytongue). Its description in RNAcentral is "lncRNA (ENSSFOG00015031986.1)". Lineage: Eukaryota; Metazoa; Chordata; Actinopteri; Osteoglossiformes; Osteoglossidae. The record is from RNAcentral.